Molecule: ribosomal RNA, 101 nt
Filed under: uncultured bacterium
Lineage: Bacteria
Description: partial 16S ribosomal RNA
Rfam family: Bacterial small subunit ribosomal RNA
Source: RNAcentral
UACACACCGCCCGUCACACCAUGGGAGUUGUUUGGACCCGAAGCCGCCUGGCCAACCCGCAAGGGAAGUAAGCGUCUAAGGUCUGGACAGUGACUGAGGUG